UUUAAGCAUAUCACUCAGUGGAGGAUGAGAAAGUAACAACGAUUGCUACAGUAAUGGCGAAUGAAGUGGCAAAGGCUCCCCCUGACUGUCUUUGAGGGGACAGUGGUGUGAUGUUACGUGGUCCGGCUUUGACUCAUCAGACUGGUGGUGCGAAUAUUGAACGGAAUGGGUAGUUCMCUGGAGGAUGCGACAACUGGCAGUGCAUGUUGAAGUCGCCUGGAAUGGCGUGCGGUACAGGGUGAUAGCCCCGUUCGCUAACUUACAAUGCCUGUCGGGAGUCAACUCCGAAGGAGGCCUGUCCGAAUCCCGGAGUAUGAUUGUUUGGGACUGCAGUGUGAAUGGCGAUGUGUAUCCAUCGGAAGGCUGAAUAUCGACAUGGAACCGACAGUGGACAAGUAGAGUGAUCGAAUGGUGAAAAGUACUCUUGCGGAGAGGUUUCAAAGUUCCUGAAAGUCSCAACAGGCUCUGUAGUGAUUGGCACCCAGUUCCCUUCUUAAUGGCUUUCUAUCGCAGUCCAAAGUUUCCCUCUCAGAACAAGUCGAGCAUUGAUGACACAUAUUCUGAGUUGAUUCAUGGCAUUGUUCCCGAGAUAUUCAAGUGGUGCGUCAAGAGAUCCUGGGUCAGGCCUGUCUCGUGCUGCAGAGCUGCCUUUACUGGUUUCAGAUCAACAGUAAUGGUAACGAAUCAAUCGCAGCACUUGAUAGUGGCAUGCUGCCCAUCUGGGCCCGGUGAUGUUGAGAAUCGGCAGAGUGAAAACCCUGAUACACCAUAAACAAAUGUCUGGUUUGUGCGGUGUCUUUGCUUGCAUUGGCGCCACGCAACACUGGGCUGUCACUGUGGUCCAUGGUGUGACUUCCCAGAGUGCAACGUCGUUGUGAAUAAUUGACUGAACUGGCUCUUUGUGUCUCACGAGGAUGCCGUGUAUGUCACACUCUGGGUGAGUUGUCCUGUGGUGCGGGAUUACAUUCGUGGCGUUGUUACUGUCGCUCCCAGCAAUUGGAUGUUGGGAUCGAGCAGCGGGAAGUGGAUGUGUCAUGGCUGCAUGGUUGGGGCUGCACCAUUUGAUGGUGGUCCCGUCCUGUUUGCUGUUUCACCCGGUUCAGCUGUUGUGGAGUGGGGCAACCGGACUUGACAAGGCAGUGUUCACUCCCUGCCCGUCUUGAAACACGGAUCAAGGAGUCUAUGGAAUGCGCAGGUGUCCCAGUGUGUUUGAACAAGCUGGAAUUGGAAUGCAGUGAAGCUACUACAUCAGAGUGCAAAGUGAAGGCGAACGGACCAAUGGCGAAUGUCAAAGCCCCUUGGUGCAGGGCUUGGAGCGAAAGUGUUUCAAUGCGAUGAUACAUGUGGCACUGGCUGUUUGUGGAGCCAGGGUGUGCGUUGCACAGAGGUGUGCUGAUUCCUGUCACCUCGUGCGAGUUACUUGAACGCCAUCCUCCGUUCGCUACUAUGUGUACAAGGUGACCCUUAUUGCGCGGGGCCACCAGUCCCAAAUCCUAUGGACAGGGUUCUGAGUGAGAGCGUCCUGCCAUAGGACCCGAAAGAUGGUGAACUAUACCUGGUUACGAUGAAGCUGUGGGAAACUGCUGUGGAGGUCGGACACUGUCCUGACGUGCAAUUCGAGUUGUUGGAAUGAGGCAUGGGGGUGAAAGGCCAAUCGAACCGUCUAGUAGCUGGUUUCAUCCGAAGUUUCCCUCAGGAUAGCCGAGGCUGAGAGUGUGUCCGAUCCUAUUUGCUACGACAAAGGUUGUGUCCGGUAAAGCAACGCAUGAGAGGUUCUCCGGGGAAAUGUCAUUCCUCGACCUAUUCUCGAACUGUGAAUGGGCACGUCGGCCAUAUACGCUUCUUCAAUUGAUGGUUAUUGCUACUACAUCCUGAGCGUGUUCCUUGGUGCAUGGGAAAGUGAGAAGUCCUGCCAUUUAUCCACACGAGAACUGGUCGUGUGCGUCUUCCCAGAUGAUCGAGAGCUUGGGACUUGGCCCUUGCUAUAUGGAACAGAGUGCGGUCUUAUGUGGGCCAUUACUGGUAAGCAGUGCUGGCGAUGCGGGAUGAUCCGAAAGUGUGCUUACAGAGUCCGAGUGCUGGUUCAAGCCCAGAUCCCACAAAGGAUGUUGCUUACUACUGAUAGCAGGACGGUGGCCAUGAAAGUUGGAAUCCGCUGAGGAAUGUGUAACAACCCACCUGCCGAAGUGAACAGCUCCGAAAAUGGAUGACGCCGAAGCCAGCGUACCGUUAUCGCCUGACAGCACACCGUCGUCACGGUUGCAGGGCAGGUAGCGAUGCGUAGGCUGACACAGGAGCCUGUGGUGCCGAUUCUGGGGCAACCCGAAUCGGAGUGCCUUCUGGUGCAGAUCUUGGUUGCAGUAGCGAGUACUCUCUCAGGUUGCGUGUCGCAAUCUGCUUCGAAAUGUGUGCUUGGUGGGACCGGCAUGCAGACGGACUGAGGACUGGAGUGGAGCAGGUUUCCGUGCGAACAUCCAUUGAACGCGGGUCAGUCGAUUGCGAGCCAAGUGGUAACGCUCACCGCAUGACCAAAGCUACUAUGCAGUCAUGGAACAUGCUGUAAUUUCGGUUACAGUGCAACGUAUUCGACUGCUGGGAUUGGCGAACAGGCAGAAGCUUCCAACAUUCCUUCGUAACUGGGUCAGGCCACGUUCUGCAGUGUUAUAUGGUGAUGGCAACACCAUCCUGAGGCGCGAUGCUGGGCAUGGGUACGUGGGCCCCCCAGAGAGUUAUCUUCUCCUUCUGACGCAAGAAAGUGAGCUUGCAGUUGAUGCUCGUGCUAGAUGGCGACAUUGUGAGCUACUUGGCAAGGCAGCACAGUCUGGGUGCUGGUGGUGUGAUGCGAUCCAAUCUCUCCAGAAGCAUACAUUUGAUGGUGGCAAGUAUGCAGUGCGAAGUGUCAUGGCUCCUACUGACUUCACGGAAUGCCCAGCGGAAAGAGAUGUCCUGAUACCUUGUUGUCGUACCGAAUCACCGCAGCUGGUCUCCUCGGUUGAAUGCCGCUGGUCAACGUUACAAAUGCAGCUAAGGGAAGUCGGCAAACUGGCUGCGUACCUUCGGAAGAUGCGGUGGCUCCAAAUGUCAGGCCAGUUGGUGAAUCCGUCUACAGGGUGCUUGCUACAACCAGAUGUCCUAGAGAGAUGGGCACUGGCUGUUUGUGUUUACGUCAAAGCACAUUGACCCUGGUGUGCCCCAGGUUGCACCCUGUAGAUGGAAACUGGGAUGUCAUCAUUCCUUUCCAACGGCGAGUGAAGUGGCUUAUUCGGAACUGUUGCUGUGCGGGGGAAUCUGACUGUUUAAUUGAAACACAGCUUUGUGAGGGGACCAGCUGGCUGGUCUCACGAGGUGAUUUCUGCCCAGUGCUCUGAUUGUCAACGCGAAGAGAUUCUGCAAAGCGCGGGUUAACGGCGGGAGUAACUAUGACUCUCUUAAGGUAGCCAAAUGCCUCGUCAACCAAUUAUUGACGCGCAUGAAUGGAUCAACGAGAUUCCUGCUGUCCCUAGCUACUGUCCGGUGAACCAACAGCCAAGGGAACGGGCUUGGAUGCGUCAGUGGGGAAAGAAGAGCCUGUUGAGA
This 3576-nucleotide ribosomal RNA is filed under the name Eutreptia viridis. RNAcentral describes it as "partial large subunit ribosomal RNA". It matches the Rfam family "Eukaryotic large subunit ribosomal RNA", at positions 33 to 2422 of the family's 3401-position model. Lineage: Eukaryota; Euglenozoa; Euglenophyceae; Eutreptiales; Eutreptiaceae. The record is from RNAcentral.